RNAcentral lists this long non-coding RNA (869 nucleotides) under Ananas comosus (pineapple). Its description in RNAcentral is "long non-coding RNA (ACOM_LNC024760)". The record is from RNAcentral. Lineage: Eukaryota; Viridiplantae; Streptophyta; Magnoliopsida; Poales; Bromeliaceae.
UUUAAAAAUAAUUUAAGUUAAGAAGCUUAAUUUUAUAAAUUUUUUUAGGAUACUAAAUUAGGGAUGUCAACGGAUUGGAUUCGGGGCGGAUUUUUAAAAAUCCGAAUCCGAACCCGACGGAUUUUAAAAAUACAUAUACAAAUCCAAACCCGACUAAAAAUUCGAAACAAUUAUUUCUCUUCUCAAUAUUUUAAAAUAUAUUAUAUUAAAUCUAAAUUUUUAAAAUAUAAAUUUAAAUAUAAUAUCAAAUUUUUCAGGUUCAUGUCGGGUCAAUCAAAAUCCAAAUCCAAAUCCAUAUCCGUCGAAUUUUUAUUUUUAAUAUCUAUAUUCAAAACCAUAUUCGUUUAGUAUCGAGUAAAUUUGUUCUGUUCGGAUUCGAAUUCGGAUAAAAUUUUGGGUAUCCGUACCUACUCACAUCCCUACACUAAACAGUUGCAAAAUUAAUUCGACAUUUGCAGAAUUUGGAAUAGUCUUAUAUACCUUAUUGAAUAAAAAAGAAUAUAUUGAAUGAAUAGAUGGUAAAUUCUAACAUUAAGGUAUAGUAGAGUUUGCCUUUUUAAUUUUGUUAUUGCAUUCUGGGCGGUUGCUAAGUCCAAAAGAAUAGAAAAAUUGAGCAAUUUCACGAUUAUAGUAGUUUUAGAAUAGAUAAUUUUUCUCCACAGAAUAUCAGAGUCAAUUAUUAGUUAGAAAUGUGAGAUGAAUUUCGAAUGAGCUAGAGUUAUACAGUGGGCAAGAGUGCAACUCCCUACAAGAUGGGCUAAAACUAACGAAACGAGUCCCACAUCUCAUAAUACUUAAGAAUGUGCUUAAGUGUGACAAAUAUAUCACAUCAUAUGAAACUUAGAAUGAUUUGAACCAAGAUAUCCAAA